Molecule: long non-coding RNA, 1151 nt
Filed under: Phoenix dactylifera (date palm)
Lineage: Eukaryota; Viridiplantae; Streptophyta; Magnoliopsida; Arecales; Arecaceae
Description: long non-coding RNA (PDAC_LNC015684)
Source: RNAcentral
AGCACCUACGCUACUUAUGUAUCACAUCCAACAAAAUUGAGAAGCUCCCUGAAUCAAUAUGCCUCCUUUAUCACCUACAGACAUUGGUACUUGAUUGCCCGGAUCUUGCAGAGUUACCAGCUGGCCUAGGCAACCUUACUAACCUACGAUUCAUAUAUAUCAGAUCCAAAAAAAUUGAGAAGUUCCCUGAAUCAAUAUGCCUCCUUUAUCACUUACAGGCAUUGAUACUUGAUUGCUCGCAUCUUGCAGAGCUACCAGAUGGCCUAGAAAACCUUAUCAACCUCCGCCACCUACAUAGUCGGGACACUAGAAUUCUCUGCCUACCAGCUGGGAUCGGAAAACUAACAAAUCUUCAAAACUUGCUUGGAUGUUAUAAAGUGCAGGGUGGGAUAGGAGGAGUGCUGAAGAUCUUGGUGAACCUCCAAGCCCUCACCAUCUCAGGGCUCCGGAACGUGGUCAACAUAAAUGAUGCCAAGGAUGCUGGUCUUAAACAUAAGCAUAAACUUGAGAAAUUGUUUCUACAUUGGAAAGCUGUCGACUGCAAAAACAAGCUACAUCACAACAGAUUACUACAUCUAGAAGCGGAAAAUAAGGAUGUCCCAGCCGAUAAAAAAAGGGAGGAAGCCAUGCUCGAGUAUCUCCAACCUCACACCAACCUCAAAGAGUUGCUUAUAAACGGGUAUGGUGGUUCCAAGUUUCCAGAAUGGGUGGGAAAUCCUGUCUCUUUUGCAUCACUUCAAAAUAUCGAUAUAAUGGAUUGUGAAAACAUAAGAUCUUUUCCUCUAUACAUUCAUGACUCUCUUGGAAAUCUGGAUGCACCCAUAUCAAAAUCCAUGCUUCAUAGUGUGCACAUUUCUGGUUGCUGGCAACUCACAUCCAUAGCAGGGCUGCAUCAUCUCCACUCGCUUACAAAUCUGAACAUAUACAAUUGUCCCCAACUCCGGCUCUUAUCAGAGGAAGGACUACCAUCCAAUGUUUAUUCUUUGCAUAUAAAAAAUUGUCCUCAACUUUGGCUCUUAUUAGAGGAAGGACUACCAUCCAAUAUUGGAUUUUUGUGUAUUGAAGAGUGCCAGCAGUUGACAUCACUAUCAGGGAUGCAAAAACUUAUUUGUCUUGAAAUAUUAAUUAUAAAAGCUUGUUCUCAACUCCAG